GACGAACGCUGGCGGCGUGCUUAACACAUGCAAGUCGAACGGAAAGGCCCUGCUUUUGUGGGGUGCUCGAGUGGCGAACGGGUGAGUAACACGUGAGUAACCUGCCCUUGACUUUGGGAUAACUUCAGGAAACUGGGGCUAAUACCGGAUAGGAGCUCCUGCUGCAUGGUGGGGGUUGGAAAGUUUCGGCGGUUGGGGAUGGACUCGCGGCUUAUCAGCUUGUUGGUGGGGUAGUGGCUUACCAAGGCUUUGACGGGUAGCCGGCCUGAGAGGGUGACCGGGCAAAUUGGGACUGAGAGACCGGCCCGAAUCCUACGGGAGGGAGCAGUGGGGAAUUUUGCAACAUGGGCGGAAGCCUGAUGCAGCAACGCCGCGUGCGGGAUGACGGCCUUCGGGUUGUAAACCGCUUUCGCCUGUGACGAAGCGUGAGUGACGGUAAUGGGUAAAGAAGCACCGGCUAACUACGUG
Molecule: ribosomal RNA, 468 nt
Filed under: uncultured bacterium
Lineage: Bacteria
Description: partial 16S ribosomal RNA
Rfam family: Bacterial small subunit ribosomal RNA
Source: RNAcentral